AUUAAACGCUGGCGGCAUGCCUUACACAUGCAAGUCGAACGGCAGCACGGGGGCAACCCUGGUGGCGAGUGGCGGACGGGUGAGUAAAGCAUCGGAACGUAUCCUGGAGUGGGGGAUAACGUAGCGAAAGUUACGCUAAUACCGCAUAUUCUGUGAGCAGGAAAGCAGGGGAUCGCAAGACCUUGCGCUCUGGGAGCGGCCGAUGUCGGAUUAGCUAGUUGGUGGGGUAAAGCCUACCAAGGCGACGAUCCGUAGCGGGUCUGAGAGGAUGAUCCGCCACACUGGGACUGAGACACGGCCCAGACUCCUACGGGAGGCAGCAGUGGGGAAUUUUGGACAAUGGGCGGAAGCCUGAUCCAGCCAUGCCGCGUGAGUGAAGAAGGCCUUCGGGUUGUAAAGGACUCUUUCGGCGGGGGAAGGAAAUACUUCUGGGUUAA
RNAcentral lists this ribosomal RNA (437 nucleotides) under uncultured bacterium. RNAcentral describes it as "bacterial SSU rRNA". It matches the Rfam family "Bacterial small subunit ribosomal RNA", at positions 29 to 465 of the family's 1533-position model. The record is from RNAcentral.